AUAUUAAAUGUAAUUAUCAUAAUAUCAUGUGCUGAGUCUUAUUCUUAAUAGCAGAAGAAGCGAGUCACAUAACAGAAUGGCAAUCUUCUUUUAAAUAUCGCGCACUGCAUUUAGUAAACGCGCAUGCGCAAAAAUCAUAUUCGGGAAAUAGUAUCAUGGCGGGCGAGUACUAGCAGGCAGAACAGUGCACGUGCGAGACAACAAUAUCGUCGCAGUGAACGAAAGUUUUGUGCGAGUCGUGGCAUUUGUGAAAGUGGGAAAGACAGAAGAUACUCAAAGUGAUAUUGUGUGGAAAGUUGGGAUAUUUACCUAAAAUUAUUAUUGG
Long non-coding RNA from Formica exsecta, 325 nucleotides. RefSeq lists it as uncharacterized. Lineage: Eukaryota; Metazoa; Arthropoda; Insecta; Hymenoptera; Formicidae. The record is from RefSeq and is a predicted model, not a curated record. The transcript is spliced from 2 exons.